CUCACCUGUCACUACACCAGGCGAAGAAAGCUCAGGGGUUGAAAGGCAAUUUCAAGGGUCACCAGAUAGCUACAGACCCAAAGACUGUCCAUAUACCUCAAAAUCUGAUGGGAGUUGAAGUCACACGGGCGACCCUUGGAAUCACUGGAAUGGGAGAGGUUGGUUACAAGAUUGCUCAAAGAAGCAAAGGAUUUGAAAUGAAGGUUAUGUAUCACAAGAGGACCAGAAGGUCUCCGACAGCGGCCCCUCCUCCUUUGGGCGGAGUUCGGUUGCUCCUCCCUGGCUGACCACCUGUGAGCAAUCAUGCCAGCAGUAUAUCAGACCUGCGCUCUCAACCAUUCAUCGCCUGAGUAUCUGCUAUCCCCAUAGGUAGCACCUGGAGUGGAGAUCUUGUCUCCCUCACUCCCGCCUUCCUGGACCUGGGCCGCCUGCUGCUAACACGACGUGGCCUGC
Molecule: non-coding RNA, 453 nt
Organism: Maylandia zebra (zebra mbuna)
Lineage: Eukaryota; Metazoa; Chordata; Actinopteri; Cichliformes; Cichlidae
Source: RefSeq, a predicted model, not a curated record